AGCAGCCGCGGUAAUUCCAGCUCCAAUAGCGUAUAUUAAAGUUGUUGCAGUUAAAAAGCUCGUAGUUGAAUUUCGGGGUUCUACCGUCGGUCGGGCUACUGUCUGUACUGGCGUGUAGAAUUUCUACCUUCUGGGGAACUAUCAUGUUAUUUAUUUAGCGUGGUAGGAAACCAGGACCUUUACCUUGAAGAAAUUAGAGUGUUCAAAGCAGGCUUAUGUCUGAAUACAUUAGCAUGGAAUAAUAAAAUAGGACGGUGGUCCUGUUUUGUUGGUCUCUGAACCACCGUA
Molecule: ribosomal RNA, 288 nt
Filed under: uncultured Diversisporaceae
Lineage: Eukaryota; Fungi; Glomeromycota; Glomeromycetes; Diversisporales
Description: partial small subunit ribosomal RNA
Rfam family: Eukaryotic small subunit ribosomal RNA
Source: RNAcentral